AUGAAUGAGGGAAGGGCCUGCAGGGAGGGAGAAGGAAGCCCCAUGACCUUGGUAGGCAGGCUGGGUGGGCUGCCAGCUGCAGAAGGAAGCUCGAAGUCAGGAGAAGACGCCUCAGGAGGGGAUGUGGUACAUUUGUCCUCUCUGCAGCGCACACAUCACACACCCCAACGUGCUCUCCAGCAGCACAGGGGUCUCAGUGUGGCCUUGCUUUGGUCCCUAGGUUUCCUGGAGGGCCAGCUGGGGCCAGAGACACUAGACAGACACAUAGUGCAUGUUCUGUUUGGGCAGUGACCAGGGCAAGGACAGAGGGCCUUGUCUUAUAGUGCCUGGCCUCCCCUCCCCUAGCCCACCAGGGGUCUGUCCUGGUUUGGGGACACUUGUCUGGGUCAGAGUUCUGGAAUAUUCCUCAGGGUUCCUUGUGGUCAGUUGUGGCAGACAGGGACACAGCAAACACGGGCAGGGCUGCGGUGCUCUUUGGAGCCAAGGAUGGCCUGAUGUCAGCCACCCAAAUCCCCUCCCACUGAUCCUGGAGCUGCUGUGCUGUGCUCUCCUGGUUGUUUGAAAACUUGAGACAGAGCCCAAGACUCGGGGUUUUCCUGGGAGCUUCUGGUAUGCGGCACUGUGAUUGAUUUUAUAGUAAAAGAGCCAACAUACUUUAAGGAGGGAAAGGAGCCAGCCAAGAGGUCUUCUGCCUGAGUUGAAAGCUGUGGUGAAGUCAAGGGGGACGCCGAGUCCCCAGCCUGCAGCAGGCCCCUGAAGCCACAUACUGUGUGUUUGGCAGCACUUCACAAAGAUGCCAACAGACCCACCUCUUCACUCGAUGCAGGCAAACUUCUUGAAAAAGAACAGAAAAGUGAGCCCCUGAGUCUCUGUUCCAGGGACUGAUGCCAGCUGCCUUCACACAUGGAUGAUGCAUUGAAAUCCCUCCCACCCCAAGUGCCUGAUGCCAGAAGCAUCUGAAAAGCUUCUCAGAAGAAUUUAGAACAACUUCAGGGGCAAAUAUUGGAGGUUUGGAUGAAAACAGUCAUCUUGAGGAAAGCUACGGGACGGCAGGAGAAGGUUCUGGAAGAGAAGGCAGAGAGCUGCAGGUGACAUGGGGACAUAGGAUCUCUGAGGGGACGCAGGCUGAGGACACCUUUUCCGCUCACUCUGGAGAACGUCGCACGGAUGCUGUUAACCUGGAACCAGACAGAGUGAAUUGGGAAAAGGAGACCAGAACUACCAGACCAGAACUCAUGGAUGCUGUCAGCUUGGCCACUUUCUCCCAAAGGCUUGGAGGAAGAAAGUGAGGAGCGUAGGAAAAGGCCUCGGGACAGACUGCUGACAGCUCGGCAAAAAGCCUCCAAACUCUGAGUGAGCGUGUUUGCAGUCGGAAAUCCCACAGCCGAAAUUUCUAAGCCUGACUGACCUUCGUGGGAGCGAAUGUCAGCAGCUCUCAGAAAGUGGGGCUCCGACAGGAAGAGGGCCGAGGACCUGGAGUGAGACCAGGAAAGAGCCACCUCCUUCUAUUACAACUGCUGUCGUCUCAAAGGAGGAGAAAGUUCCAGAAACGUGGUGGGUAGCCCUUCCCAGCGCAACGGGUAAGAAAGGGAGCCGGUCACACAGACACAAGUUGGUGGAGGUAGAUUUAGGAUCAGCUUUCCCCUGGUGGCCUCUCACCCCGACUAAGCGCAGGAUAGAGGCCGAGGUCGGGGUGGGCAAGGGUUCUGGGGGCACCUCAGGCCCCCAGGGGAGGAGGCCGGGUGAGCCACGAGGGCUCAGGGACCCGGGCCACACGCAGGAGGCCCCGCACGUCCACACAGCAGAACGUUAGCCCCCUUUCUCUCUCAAAAGUAAUUUUGCAAAAAAAAAAAAAAAAAGUAAUUUUGCAUCAGUAUUUUUAGUUUAGUUGCGGCUACUUAAUCGAUGCUACGCUUGCUUUUGCUGAAAUCCAAUAGAAUUAUAUUUCCUAAGAUAACGUUCUUCAAAUAUAGACAAUUUUAAUGUAAUUAUUAUGAAUGUGUUAUUUGUACUUCGUCGGACCUUCUAGAAUUAGAUGGGAUAAGGACUGUAUUUUGAUUGAAACCGCAGGUCUGGCAGACAGUCUCUCCUCUGCUGUCCUGCCCGCGGCUCCCUUGCGGUGUAUUCAAUAAACUUCUCUCUCCUUUAAAAAAAAAAACCCA
RNAcentral lists this long non-coding RNA (2162 nucleotides) under Canis lupus dingo (dingo). Its description in RNAcentral is "lncRNA (ENSCAFG00020026793.1)". Lineage: Eukaryota; Metazoa; Chordata; Mammalia; Carnivora; Canidae. The record is from RNAcentral.